RNAcentral lists this long non-coding RNA (201 nucleotides) under Mytilus galloprovincialis (Mediterranean mussel). The record is from RNAcentral. Lineage: Eukaryota; Metazoa; Mollusca; Bivalvia; Mytilida; Mytilidae.
GUUAGUUCUUUUUUUCCUAUUUGGUUUUGGCUCAUAUUGUGACUGAGGCUUAUGGUGAAAUAAAUAUAACUAGUAUAAAUUAGUAUUGUAAUGUCUUAAUGUUGACCCAAUCAUUAUACCGCCGCUUCGAAAAAGUGGGGAGUAUACUGUGUUACCUCUGUCUGACCGUCCGAAGUCUGGUUUAUCGCGUGAUGCAUUUUC